Long non-coding RNA from Scleropages formosus (Asian bonytongue), 720 nucleotides. RefSeq lists it as uncharacterized. The record is from RefSeq and is a predicted model, not a curated record. NCBI's taxonomy places the organism in Eukaryota, Metazoa, Chordata, Actinopteri, Osteoglossiformes, Osteoglossidae. The transcript is spliced from 3 exons.
AAUAAUUUCUUCGUUUACCAAUCAGCAAGACAAUUUCUUGCAGAAGUCGCCAACAUAAGACAUCUCUAGGGGCCUGCUUUCAGAAAUUAUUGAAAAGCCAUAAUUCACAGCUACAUAAGAGUGCAGCGAAGGACUCUCUCAGUCAGAUGUGACCUGACAAGUUAAGUAGAUGAUACUCUUCUUAAACAUUAAUCCAAAAACCACAGCACCUGCCAGAUUUGCUUUGAUGUGACGUCCGAUGGGAUCUGCUGUCCUUCUCGGUACUACUCCAAUCGAAGCAUAUGGGCUGUCAUACGAUAACGUACAGCUCCAGCCUCUUCAUCUGCCCACUGUGCAGAAGGCCAUGAAGUGGCUCGUAUCUGAUUCAAGUUGCAGCCGGUGACCUGCUGCUGUAGUUCUUGUAAAGUGGUAUGGAGGAGGUUAGACCAUACCCCAACUCCUGGACUUGUCAGCUGUGCCUGGGGAGAUAACCAGCACCAGAUGUGGCUUGUGAUGCUCCAGUGUAAAUAACCAGCCAGUGACCCCACUGGGUGUUGUUAGAAAACUUGGAAUCAUGUGCAUUUCUUCUGGUUGUUGGCUGGAAUUUGCGGUUUCUGAUGUGUAUGUGUACAUGCAUGAACGAUGUGUGUAUGUAUGUGUGUGUCUACCCUGCAAUGCACUGCUAUCUACGAUGUACACCGACUAGCCUAGUGUCCCAUGCUUCCAGGACACGUUUUGGAC